Non-coding RNA from Corylus avellana, 954 nucleotides. NCBI's taxonomy places the organism in Eukaryota, Viridiplantae, Streptophyta, Magnoliopsida, Fagales, Betulaceae. The record is from RefSeq and is a predicted model, not a curated record.
AAGAAAGGAAAGAGAGGAGAAAGAGAAAAGAAAAGAGAGGAAAGAGAGAAGAAAGAAAGAGGAAGAAGAGAAAGAAAGAGGAGGAAGAAGGAAAAUAAAAAAUAUGAGAAUUCUCCAAGGAAUUGUGAGUUGGAUGCAUAUUCAAAAUAAGGGCAUGCAAUGCCAGGUAAGGGGACAUAACACCAAAAACCCUAACAGAUUUUAUUAUAAAUCUUUUAGAAAAAUGUUGGGGAUUUUAUAAAGAAUCCACUUACAUGAUUUUCAAUUGCACUUCCUUCCAUAUUUUAAUGCCAAGUUUUAUUCAAUCAUAUGUCAUUGUUUAAGAAUUUUACGUGUUACAAUUACCCUAUUUCAUGAUUUAUGCAUAACUGCAAUUAUGAAUGAAAAAAACUCUCAAAGUUUCAUGGCACAGAUAAGUUUACAGAUCAUAUGAAAUGUUAUAUGUUAUACAGUUACAGAUGAGUUUACAGAUUAUAUGAAAUGUUAUAUAUGCAUUCAUGGCACAAUAUACAGUUACAGAUGAGUUUACAGAUCAUAUGAAAUGUUAUAUGUGCAUUCAUGAUUAUAAAUGUUUAACCCGAGACACGAUUAUAGUGACGAUCGGUACCGCAUAGGGUAGCAUGGCAAGCACACCGAAGGAUGGUUACGAGAAGGUGUGUGCUACCGGCCAGGUGGCCUUCACCUAGGGAAGUUCCCAACCUGGUAGUUCUCCCCUGUGACGACAUGAUGAGCAUAUAGGUCCUUCGGGACAAGCCAACAUGCGCUGCUCACGAUUGCUUUAUAUAUCGUAGUACUGAAGACAUGGGUACCGGUGGGCCUCUUAGUUGUUAAAGAUCCUAUCGCUACUUUAUGGACUAGCAGGAGCAGUAGAAGUGUCUGGGACUCCAUUCUAUAGACUAGACGGCUUUGGAUAAGCUUAGACGGUGUAACUUUAUUGCUUAUAAGAUUAUUGAA